This 301-nucleotide ribosomal RNA is filed under the name uncultured bacterium. RNAcentral describes it as "partial 16S ribosomal RNA". It matches the Rfam family "Bacterial small subunit ribosomal RNA", at positions 509 to 807 of the family's 1533-position model. The record is from RNAcentral.
CAGCAGCCGCGGUAGUACGAAGGGGGCUAGCGUUGUUCGGAUUUACUGGGCGUAAAGCGCACGUAGGCGGAUUCUUAAGUCAGAGGUGAAAUCCCAAGGCUCAACCUUGGAACUGCCUUUGAUACUGGGGAUCUCGAGUCCGGGAGAGGUGAGUGGAACUGCGAGUGUAGAGGUGAAAUUCGUAGAUAUUCGCAAGAACACCAGUGGCGAAGGCGGCUCACUGGACCAUAACUGACGCUGAGGCACGAAAGCUAGGGGAGCAAACAGGAUUAGAGACCCCUGUAGUCCCUGUCUCUUAUAC